RNAcentral lists this ribosomal RNA (505 nucleotides) under uncultured Lachnospiraceae bacterium. RNAcentral describes it as "partial 16S ribosomal RNA". Lineage: Bacteria; Bacillati; Bacillota; Clostridia; Lachnospirales; Lachnospiraceae. The record is from RNAcentral.
CACGUAGUUAGCCGGGGCUUCUUAGUCAGGUACCGUCAUUUUCUUCCCUGCUGAUAGGGCUUUACAUACCGAAAUACUUCUUCACCCACGCGGCGUCGCUGCAUCAGGGUUUCCCCCAUUGUGCAAUAUUCCCCACUGUUGCCUCCCGUAGGAGUUUGGGCCGUGUCUCAGUCCCAAUGUGGCCGUACACCCUCUCAGGCCGGCUACUGAUCGUCGCCUUGGUAGGCCGUUACCCUGCCAACUAGCUAAUCAGACGCGGACCCAUCUCAUACCACCGGAGUUUUUCACACAAAACCAUGCGGUUUCGUGCGCUUAUGCGGUAUUAACAGCCGUUUCCAACUGUUAUCCCCCUGUAUGAGGCAGGUUAUCCACGCGUUACUCACCCGUCCGCCACUCAGUCAAAUGCUGCUUCCCUUUGAGCAAGCUCUCCAGUCCGCUGCAAGUGCUUCGUUCGACUUGCAUGUGUUAAGCACGCCGCCAGCGUUCAUCCUGAGCCAGGAUCAAA